This is a non-coding RNA of Uloborus diversus, 73 nucleotides long. The record is from the annotation of a RefSeq genome assembly. Lineage: Eukaryota; Metazoa; Arthropoda; Arachnida; Araneae; Uloboridae.
GCUCCGAUAGCCCAAUGGCUAGAGCGCUUGACUUCCGAUCUAGUGGGCUAGGGUUCGAGUCCCUGUCGGAACG